GAUGAACGCUGGCGGCGUGCCUAAUACAUGCAAGUCGAGCGAACAGAUGAGGAGCUUGCUCCUCUGACGUUAGCGGCGGACGGGUGAGUAACACGUGGAUAACCUACCUAUAAGGCUGGGAUAACUUCGGGAAACCGGAGCUAAUACCGGAUAAUAUAUUGAACCGCAUGGUUCAAUAGUUAAAGACGGUUUUGCUGUCACUUAUAGAUGGAUCCACGCCGCAUUAGCUAGUUGGUAAGGUAACGGCUUACCAAGGCAACGAUGCGUAGCCGACCUGAGAGGGUGAUCGGCCACACUGGAACUGAGACACGGUCCAGACUCCUACGGGAGGCAGCAGUAGGGAAUCUUCCGCAAUGGGCGAAAGCCUGACGGAGCAACGCCGCGUGAUUGAUGAAGGUCUUCGGAUCGUAAAACUCUGUUAUUAGGGAAGAACAAAUGUGUAAGUAACUAUGCACGUCUUGACGGUACCUAAUCAGAAAGCCACGGCUAACUACGUG
RNAcentral lists this ribosomal RNA (497 nucleotides) under uncultured bacterium. RNAcentral's name for it is "partial 16S ribosomal RNA". It matches the Rfam family "Bacterial small subunit ribosomal RNA", at positions 28 to 507 of the family's 1533-position model. The record is from RNAcentral.